RNAcentral lists this ribosomal RNA (253 nucleotides) under uncultured bacterium. RNAcentral describes it as "partial 16S ribosomal RNA". It matches the Rfam family "Bacterial small subunit ribosomal RNA", at positions 524 to 776 of the family's 1533-position model. The record is from RNAcentral.
UACGUAGGGAGCAAGCGUUGUCCGGAAUCAUUGGGCGUAAAGCGCGCGUAGGCGGCCCCGUAAGUCCGCUGUGAAAGUCAAAGGCUCAACCUUUGGAAGCCGGUGGAUACUGUGGGGCUAGAGUCCGGAAGAGGCGAGUGGAAUUCCUGGUGUAGCGGUGGAAUGCGCAGAUAUCAGGAGGAACACCAAUAGCGAAGGCAGCUCGCUGGGACGGUACUGACGCUAAGGCGCGAAAGCGUGGGGAGCGAACAGG